RNAcentral lists this ribosomal RNA (468 nucleotides) under uncultured bacterium. RNAcentral's name for it is "partial 16S ribosomal RNA". It matches the Rfam family "Bacterial small subunit ribosomal RNA", at positions 28 to 507 of the family's 1533-position model. The record is from RNAcentral.
GACGAACGCUGGCGGCGUGCUUAACACAUGCAAGUCGAACGGAAAGGCCCUGCUUUUGUGGGGUGCUCGAGUGGCGAACGGGUGAGUGACACGUGGGUAACCUGCCCUUGACUUUGGGAUAACUUCAGGAAACUGGGGCUAAUACCGGAUAGGAGCUCCUGCUGCAUGGUGGGGGUUGGAAAGUUUCGGCGGUUGGGGAUGGACUCGCGGCUUAUCAGCUUGUUGGUGGGGUAGUGGCUUACCAAGGCUUUGACGGGUAGCCGGCCUGAGAGGGUGACCGGCCACAUUGGGACUGAGAUACGGCCCAGACUCCUACGGGAGGCAGCAGUGGGGAAUAUUGCACAAUGGGCGGAAGCCUGAUGCAGCAACGCCGCGUGCGGGAUGACGGCCUUCGGGUUGUAAACCGCUUUCGCCUGUGACGAAGCGUGAGUGACGGUAAUGGGUAAAGAAGCACCGGCUAACUACGUG